UUUAUAUUGCUAUUGCGAUCCCAACUAAGUCAACGUUCAAAUGGAAACCUUUUGUGGUUGUUGUUGUAGCGGCAGAUUUUGUAGAUUUGACAAUGUUUGGCCGAAUAAAAGUCCGGGUCCAUUCUAGUUACGUAGACCCGACUGUCGUGGGAACGACGGAAACAUUUUGGCGUUAUUGGCGGCAAAUUCUCUUUUGGCUCCUGUAACUCGAAUCAAGUAUUUCCGCCUUUCUUUUCACUACAUUUUCGCAAAUUAAGGGAACCAAACUCCAAGAUACAAAGACGGAAGAUUCGACUUAAUGAAUAUGACUUUGACGUAAAAUACAUAUCAGUGAAGAAUCUGAUCUAACGUAGACACUGUUCACUCUGCCGAUGAAGAUUCCUAAAGUUUUAUUAAGAUAAUAGAGCGACCAUUAAAUGUAUUCAAAAAUCAAAUUAAAUUAAUAAGAGACGGUAAAGACUCAACUACAAUAACGAAAGUUUUUUUAAUAACCUAAUUGUAAUUACAUACAAAGAAUUAACUACAGAUUAUACUAAAGACAUAGAUAGAGCAUAAUACAACAAUUUUUAUGCCAAAUGAAACUGAUUUUAUACAAUUUCAAAACGUUUAUAAGACACUAAUAACAACAAGUCGCAACAUGAUUUAUCGGUGUACAAAAGAACUAUAAAACAUUACAAAUUUUGCAAAUUUUAAAAGUAAAGUACUUGAAAUCCAUUUAAGUGGACUUCAUAAAGGUAUAGAGAAGGUUGCAAAAUGUUUUAAAUUACAGUAUUAUUACCCCAAUUAUCUUUCGGAAAUCACCAAUAUAAUAAAUGAAUGUGAACUGUGUAAUCAUUGUAAGAACUAUCAUAUUUCUAAUAAAAUGCCGUUCAAAAUUACACCGCCAAUUUAAAAAAUAAGAUAAAAAUAUGUUGUAGAUUUUUGGAAAUAGAAUAAUGAAUAUUAUUUAACAUAUAUCGAUUUAUACUCUAAGUUUGCUAUGAUAUAAAAAGUUAAAGCAUUGCUAAAAAAUUUUAAUUGCAUGGGUCCUCCAAAAACUUUAAAAAUCGACCAAGACCAAGGUUUAAAUAAUAUAAACAUUAAACAAUGGUGUAAUUCAUUAAAUAUAAAAGUAGAAGUAACCACCGGUAAAACUGGUAUAGGGACAUUGAAAGUUUAGAUAAAACUUUAAAUGAAAAACUUAGAAUAAUCAACACUUCAGGUGAUAAAGAGCUAAAAUAUUUAGAAAUUGAACAAACACUUUUAACUUAUAACCAUAUAAUUGUUCACUCUACUACCAAUGAAGUUCCAUAUACAACCUUUUUUUAAUAAAGAGUCACCAAAACAAGAUCCUCAAAUUAUUAAAGAACAAAGAAUAAAUAAUGUAAAUAAAAACCGUCAAGAAAAAGAUAUGUAUUGACACAAACUUUGUAAACGCAGAAGUUUCGAGGAAGAGAUUAGAGAAAAUUAGUAAACCAUACAAAAAAGUUAGUCUUUUAAAACUGAAGAAGAUGGCGAACAUCAUAUUGUAAAGUUUAAAAGUCAAAAUGUAAGAAAAUAUAAAAACCAAUUCAAAAGAAAAAAGAAAACCAACUAAAACUAAAUCUAAGAAUUGAAAAUUGUAUCUUAUCAAUCUUAUUAUUCCUUUUUACUUAUUCAUUACUACUCAAUCAUUUUUAAAUGCUAAAAAUAUCUUUAAAUUUUGUAAGAAUUCUAUUUAAAAACUUUAACUUGUAAACAAAGAAGAUUUGCAAUGAGGACGUUGCAUUAUUUUAAGAUGGGAGGAGUGACAUAUCCUAAUGUUGCAUUGGAGACUUUUGCCAGCAAAAGCAUCGAAUGCAACAUUGCAAACGUGCUUCAAUUCAGCAUUUUCGCCAUUGAAAGCAGCAGUGCGGGCACAUUAAGCGGCACCGUUUGAAAAUCGCGUUUGUCAUGACUCACUCUGAUUUCGUCAUCCUACUCGUAAAGUUCUAAUUGAUCGUGUUACAAGAUGUUGUUUAAUAAAAAUUGUCAUUUGUUACAAAAAUAUUCAAAUAAAAACUAUUUUUGUUGUAAAAAUAUUACUUA
This is a long non-coding RNA of Bactrocera dorsalis (oriental fruit fly), 2046 nucleotides long. RefSeq lists it as uncharacterized. The record is from RefSeq and is a predicted model, not a curated record. The transcript is spliced from 2 exons. Lineage: Eukaryota; Metazoa; Arthropoda; Insecta; Diptera; Tephritidae.